ACGGGGGGGGCAAGCGUUGUUCGGAAUUACUGGGCGUAAAGGGCGCGUAGGCGGCCUGUUAAGUCAUACGUGAAAUCCCCGGGCUCAACCCGGGAACUGCGUCUGAUACUGGCAGGCUUGAAUCCGGGAGAGGGAUGUGGAAUUCCAGGUGUAGCGGUGAAAUGCGUAGAUAUCUGGAGGAACACCGGUGGCGAAGGCGGCAUCCUGGACCGGCAUUGACGCUGAGGCGCGAAAGCCAGGGGAGCAAACGGGA
RNAcentral lists this ribosomal RNA (253 nucleotides) under uncultured prokaryote. RNAcentral describes it as "partial 16S ribosomal RNA". It matches the Rfam family "Bacterial small subunit ribosomal RNA", at positions 525 to 777 of the family's 1533-position model. The record is from RNAcentral.